GCCAAGCCGUAAACCUUUAACUCACACCUCAUCCGCCCGGGCACUACAAGCUCAGACUUAAAACCCAAAGGACUUGACGGUGCCCCAUAUCCACCUAGAGGAGCCUGUCCUAUAAUCGAUGAUCCACGUUUAACCUCACCACUUCUAGCCCCCCAGCCUGUAUACCUCCGUCGUCAGCUCACCGCAUGAGCGCCAAAUAGUGAACAAAAUGGCCCCUCGCCAAAACGUCAGGUCAAGGUGCAGCAAACGAAGCGGGCAGAGAUGGGCUACAUUUUCUACCAUAGAAAACUACGAAAGACUGUGUGAAACCCCAGCAGAAGGCGGAUUUAGUAGUAAAGCGGAGAUCAACAAACUCCAUUUAACAAGGCACAGGGGCAUGUACACACCGCCCGUCGCCCUCUUCAACAACUAAGUUAUAGUAAAUAACCAACCUCCCUGUAAAGAAGAGGUAAGUCGUAACAUGGUAAGUAUACCGGAAGGUGUGCUUGGAAACAAAAUGUAGUUUAAACAAAACCCCUUGCUUACACCAAGUAAAUAUCUGUUAAGACAGGUCAUUUUGAGCCAAACCCUUAGCCGUAACACCCCCACCUGUGACACCCCCACCACAAGGCCCCCCCCAAAACAUUCUCCACCUCCUAGUAUAGGCGAUAGAAACCCCCCUCAGAGCUAUAAACAGUACCGCAAGGGAACAGUGAAAUAGAAAUGAAAUAAAACUAAAGCACAACAUAGUAGAGACUCCCCCUCG
This 745-nucleotide unclassified non-coding RNA is filed under the name Myobatrachus gouldii (turtle frog). RNAcentral's name for it is "partial contains 12S ribosomal RNA, tRNA-Val and 16S ribosomal RNA". The stretch from base 1 to 501 matches the Rfam family "Bacterial small subunit ribosomal RNA", at positions 794 to 1533 of the family's 1533-position model. The record is from RNAcentral. Lineage: Eukaryota; Metazoa; Chordata; Amphibia; Anura; Myobatrachidae.